This 81-nucleotide transfer RNA is filed under the name Caudoviricetes sp. RNAcentral's name for it is "tRNA-OTHER". It matches the Rfam family "tRNA". Rfam says of the family: Transfer RNA (tRNA) molecules are approximately 80 nucleotides in length. Their secondary structure includes four short double-helical elements and three loops (D, anti-codon, and T loops). The record is from RNAcentral. Lineage: Duplodnaviria; Heunggongvirae; Uroviricota; Caudoviricetes.
GGAAACGUAGCUCAAUAGGCAGAGCGCACGGCACGUGUUUAUUAACUGUGAGGUUAGCGGUUCGAGUCCGCUCGUUUUCCA